Molecule: long non-coding RNA, 3775 nt
Organism: Melospiza georgiana
Lineage: Eukaryota; Metazoa; Chordata; Aves; Passeriformes; Passerellidae
Exons: 3
Source: RefSeq, a predicted model, not a curated record
UUGGUUGGGUUCUUUUUCUUUAUUGUUUUCUGGAAAUAGAAGUAAUUAAGUAUAGAUACUACUGGUUUGUUUCUUCCAGUAGCUGAUAAUACUAAUACCAAUAAUAAUAAUAAUAAGAGUAAAGUAAUACUACUUCAACUGUCUUUAUUUAUCCAUUGGACUGGCCAUUUUAAAUCUAAACUUCUAAACACAAAUCAAACCAUCAUCCUUGUAGAAUCUUUAAUAGGAGUGGGCUAAAGAUCCUGGUUUUGUUGACAGGAUUUAUUGGUUCAUGAAGAGCAAGAGGUAAGUACAAGCCUAACUACCCUCUAGCUCACAGACCUGCCCGGUGAAUAGAGCUUUGUUUUUUUGAUGGGCUUGUGAUGACUUUGAAAUCAAUUGCUCAUUCAUUACAGUAAAAAAAAAAAAAAUUGUUUUGAACAUGACAGCAAAAAUAACUUUAAGCACAACUUAAUAAUAAUAGAUCACCAAUUUUAGUUAAUAAUUUUAUGCUAUACUCUUGGGUGAGGGAAGACUCGGACACUCAAUAUGAGAUCAGCAAGCUAUGUUUAUUGCAGAGAGUAUCAGACACUUAUAUAGCACAUAAUAAGCUUAUGAAUAUUCUGUAAGCCAAGCGAUCUAUUGGUUAAACUAUACCAUCAACUCUUCCUCAUUCCUUUGGGCCUACAUUCCCUAUUUCCCACGUCUCUCUGUCUACUUGUUAUCCUACCCAGCUAGGCCCAGGCACACGCUAUCUUGCAGGUGCAAAACUCAAAAAUACCUGUGUUCGGUACUUUCCCAGCUCCUGGUCGGCUAACGAGCGAAUGUCUGCGUGACCUCUGUCAUGGAGCCAUUUCUCCACACUAUACUAUCAAAGUUUAAAGGUAAAUUAUUAUAUAUUAGGAGAUGGUGUAAAGUGUAUGUUGUAAUGUGUAGGAUAUAUACAAAGAUAUGUACUUGAAAGUCCGUAGAGGAAACAAAUUUUUACGCCUUCUGUUUGACUGUUUGUCAUAUAUUUGGUUUUAUUUCCCAGGGAUCAGUGAAUUUUAACUCUGGAGUCCUCUAUGCUAAGGAUGCUCAGCUUACAGAUGAUGAAAUGUUCAGUAAUGUAUUUGCUGGAGCUGUGCUUACCCAAGGUUUGGGUAAAACAAGCUUUGGGUUCCCUCUGUCUCACUGGGAGUUGCCCAAUUCAGUUCCAUCUGGUGAAAUUCACCCUGAGACCUUACAGAACCAGCUACAACUACGUGAGAGCCAUUUGCAGUUCUCUCCAGACGCCUGGAGAAUGGGUGACGUUUCUGAGGAUCCGGCGAGCGUGCUUCUAUCAAAACUCAGUCUGUGAAAUUUCUGGGGAAAACCCUUCUGUGUCCUGAAGGGUUCAAACUCUGGUGAGGAUCCAGUUAUCAGGUGCUCACCUGGAUGGUUCCAGCUCCCAAAGGUAACACUUGUACUCUUGCCCUGUAGUUUACAUCUAUUGUAUUUUUGUUAUUUUGCAGGAUUUUUUGUCUUUGCAAAAUAUUGUGCAUUUCACUCUUUGGAACCUCUCAGAUGGUUCUUUGGUGCAGCACCACCCCAGGGGACACUUGGCUGCUGUCCUGAAGGGGUUGGUGGCUAGAAUUGUAAAUCCUGGCGAGUUUAUAAGUCUUCUGUCCCCAGGGAGGUGUCGUGCUUUGUUUACUUUUGUUCUGUUGGUUAGGUGCUGCUUCUCGUUGCAAGUACGAAUUUCAAACUGCCCUGUUCUUAUUUUAACUGUUUUCCUGGUUCUCUCCGUCCGGCAGGGAAAGACUCUCGUAUCCUUGUCGUCGGGCUCGGUGCUGUCCAAGAAGAUACAGAGACUAAAAAAAUCAUAAGAAGGAAAAUAUGACUGCAGGGAAAAGAAGCUGGAGAGAACAGAAGACAUUGCUCCACUCCCCAGAGGAUUAUUGUGAGCAGAUGUGAGCUCUGCUGUCCCUUUGGACUGACAAAGACAGAGGUUUUGUCCCAAGUUGCUUUUGAACCUGUCCUGCACCUGUUACGAGUCCUCAGUCUCCUGCAAUUUUGUGGGUCAGUCACAUGUAAAACAGCACAGCUGGCUGGCAUGCUUUGCUCAUGAGGGGAGACAAGAGAAGAAUCCCUCUGCUCACACCAGACCUGCAGCUGCCAAACCUCACCAAAGCACCUGAGGAGCCCCCAGGGACUGAUGGUACAGAAGGGAGGUGAUGGAGGACAGCACAGCAGGCAGCCUGCCCUCCAUCUGGGUGUGAAGAAGGCAGGGCUGGGAACUGUAAGCAACAUCCCAGCAGGUCUGGCUGAUGGUGCCACCCUGAGGGCUUCCCCUGCCUUUGGGCAGUCCCAGCUGCUGCAGCUCACUUGACAGAGACUCAUUGUCUAUACUGUGCUUGGCUGCAGUGGAGAUGAUGAAGCCGAGGACAGCAAUGGUUGCCUUCACAUCCCCUGACUGCAGAUGGGAAGGAGGGCGAGCUCUGUCACCUUGGGAAGGCGUCUGCAGAGUCACUGCUGCCCGUCUCUGGAGCGUGGCUCCAUUGGGGGACCGUGGUAAGGACAGCAGUGCUCACUUAACUGUGCACCUGAGGACAGCUUCAGGAUCUUGUCAUACUGUGGGAGAGCAGAGCUUCACAGUAAACACCAGCUAACACACUGACUGCCAGUGUUAACACUAACAGUUCUUACCUAAAUAUUAAUACUAGUAACACUUACUAUGCGUAUUAUUAAUCCUAGUAGAGGCUGGUAGCGUUCUUUAGGCUGAGGCUUGCAUGAAGAAUACAAAAUUAAUUAACGUUGCUGAUUAUGCUAUUGUGUUGAAAUACUUGGCCUCCACUGCGGUAGCCCCACGCUUACCUCGAUGGCCUGCCCCAGCAGGUCCCAAAACACCUGGAUGCAGAUCAGCUUAAGCUUCACUGAUGUGAUAAACAGAGUUCACUCUUUAUAAUUUUUAAAAUUUUAAUAAAGGAUAAAAGGACAAAAUAAUCCAGCACUGGGAUGCUUUUAGCACACAGCCAAAGAGCACAGAGGUAGCUUAAAAACAUGUUCACUAUAUACUGUUACAUUGCUGAGGUUACAGGCAUAUUCAUUAACUUACACAUUAUUCAAACAUUCCUUUGACUUUUUGAUGUUCCAGGAACUCUCUUGUUUGGUUUUAACCUCUGACUUGUCUGCAGAACGUUCUGUAAAUUAGGUCUACAUAUUUUAUUUCUUCCUGUAGUUUUAUCCUGUUGCUUCACACUCCCUGAUAACACUGGUAAGAGUCGAUAAAUCCUUCUUGGAUGCUUAAGCUCUUUUUGUGUCACUAUUAUCUUAUCACUUGGUAGGGGCAGUCUGCAGUUAUAAGAAGCAGAAUAAUUGCUUUACACCAUUUUCUGAGUUAGUUACAUAGAAGUAUUUUAGUUUCUAUUUUAACAUUUUGCUAAAGCCUACCAUGUAUUUAUCACGCUACUAUUCAUAUGAAAUAUACAGUGCAUACAUAAACUGGCAUAUUACACUAUACAAAGCAGUUCAAAGUAAGAAUAAGUUUUACCACAUCAAAAUACUUGUAAUGCAAAAAGCUAAUCUAUGAAUGUGAAAGCCAGUAUUGUUUUAUCAUCUAUAACAUCCGACGACGAGGGUGAGCAGCGGGCCCGCAGCAGGCGGAGGGCGGGCAGGGGGACGCGGGCACUUAACUUUGGCCAGGGUGCUGAUCUCGGCCAGUCGGGGCAGGCCAAGUCCCCGCAGAAGCGGAAGCACUGCGGUAGAAGAGGCACCCAGAGCCCGCAGCGGGCGCUGCACGCCCUCCCCGCUCCCGAGCCCUCUCCUCACCAAAUCG